Molecule: ribosomal RNA, 1884 nt
Filed under: human gut metagenome
Description: bacterial LSU rRNA
Rfam family: Bacterial large subunit ribosomal RNA
Source: RNAcentral
UCAAGCGAACAAGGGCGCAGGGCGAAUGCCUUGGCACUGGGAGCCGAUGAAAGACGUGAUAAGCUGCGAUAAGCUUCGGGGAGCUGCAAAUAAGCAUUGAUCCGGAGAUUUCUGAAUGAGGAAACUCACCUGGGUUCAUACUCAGGUACGUUAUACUGAACUUUAAAAUAGGUAUAUCGAGGGAACCGCCUGAACUGAAACAUCUAAGUAGGGCGAGGAAGAGACAUCAAACGAGAUUCCGUAAGUAGUGGCGAGCGAACGCGGAAGAGGGCAAACCGGGAGUCGAAAGACUUCCGGGGUACGGAGCGCAUUUAAGACUUAAGUUGUUAACCGAACGGCAUGGGAAGGCCGGUCAGAGAGUGUGAGAACCACGUAGGUGAAAGCGACGAGAGCUGAGCGAUUUCCAGAGUACGGCCAGACACGUGAAACCUGGUCGGAAGAUGGGGGGACCACCCUCCAACCCUAAAUACUACCCAGUGACCGAUAGCGUAUAGUACUGUGAAGGAAAGGUGAAAAGCACCCCGGGAGGGGAGUGAAAAAGAACCUGAAACCCUGUGCCUACAAGCACCUAGAGCACGUCAAUGUGUGAUAGGGUACUUUUUGUAGAACGGUCCGGCGAGCGAUUGUAUGCAGCAAGGUUAAGGACUUAAGGUCUGGAGCCGAAGCGAAAGCGAGUUUGAAAAGGGCGUUAAGUUGCAUAUAAUGGGCCCGAAACCGGGUGACCUACCCAUGGUCAGGUUGAAGUGGAAGUAAAAUUCCAUGGAGGACCGAACCGACCUCCGUUGAAAAGGCGGCGGAUGAACUGUGGGUAGCGGAGAAAUUCCAAUCGAACCCGGAGAUAGCUGGUUCUCCCCGAAAUAGUUUUAGGACUAGCCUCAAGUUAGAUACCUGGAGGUAAAGCACUGAAUAGCCUAGCGGCCGAGAGGUUAGCGAAGCUUAUCAAACUCAGAAUGCCAGAGUAUUGAUGCUUGGGAGUCAGACAGUGUCAGAUAAAUGUCAUUGUCAAAAGGGAAACAGCCCAGAUCUACAGCUAAGGUCCCAAAGUCAGGUUAAGUGGAAAACGAUGUGAAGAUACGCAGACAACCAGGAUGUUGGCUCAGAAGCAGCCACUCAUUCAAAGAGUGCGUAAUAGCUCACUGGUCGAGCGUCUUUGCGCGGAGAAUUUAACGGGGCUAAACCUGACACCGAAGCUUAGGCAAUCCAGUAAUGGAUUGGGUAGGGGAGCGUUGUAUACGCGGAGAAACAGUAGCGUAAGCGGCUGUGGAGUGUAUAGAAGUGAGAAUGCCGGAAUGAGUAGCGCGAAUGCAGUGAGAAUCUGCAUGGCCGAAAGCCUCAGGUUUUUGGAGGAAGGUUCGUCCGCUCCAAGUUAGUCGGGAGCUAAGGUGAGGCCGAAAGGCGUAGCCGAUGCACAGACGGUAGAGAUUCCGUCACCACCAAAAGAGUUAAGCACAGGGACACAUUUGAAGUCUCAGAGCCGGGUGUUGGUUCCGGUAGAGAUCGAGGGAAAUUAGUACCGAAGUCUGGGAUGGAAGAUGGCGAGAAAAGCUGUGUGUAUUUCUGAGGUGCCCGUACCGCAAACCGACACAGGUAGGUAGGAAGAAGAUUCUAAGGCCAACGGGAGAAGGGUUGUUAAGGAACUCGGCAAAUUGACCCCGUAACUUCGGGAGAAGGGGUGCUCCAGAGAUGGAGCCGCAGAGAAUCGGCCCAAGCAACUGUUUACCAAAAACACAGGUUUGUGCUAAAUCGAAAGAUGACGUAUACGAGCUGACGCCUGCCCGGUGCUGGAAGGUUAAGAGGAGAUGUGCAAGCAUUGAAUCGAAGCCCCAGUGAACGGCGGCCGUAACUAUAACGGUCCUAAGGUAGCGAAAUUCCUUGUCAGGUAAG